Molecule: ribosomal RNA, 305 nt
Filed under: uncultured bacterium
Lineage: Bacteria
Description: bacterial SSU rRNA
Rfam family: Bacterial small subunit ribosomal RNA
Source: RNAcentral
CGUGCCUACGGGACGCAGCAGUGGGGAAUAUUGGGCAAUGGGCGCAAGCCUGACCCAGCAACGCCGCGUGAAGGAAGAAGGCUUUCGGGUUGUAAACUUCUUUUGUCAGGGACGAAGCAAGUGACGGUACCUGACGAAUAAGCCACGGCUAACUACGUGCCAGCAGCCGCGAUAAUACGUAGGUGGCAAGCGUUAUCCGGAUUUAUUGGGUGUAAAGGGCGUGUAGGCGGGAAUGCAAGUCAGAUGUGAAAACUAUGGGCUCAACCCAUAGCCUGCAUUUGAAACUGGAUUUCUUUAGUGCUGGG